Paramuricea clavata is the source of this 382-nucleotide non-coding RNA. The record is from the annotation of a GenBank genome assembly. Lineage: Eukaryota; Metazoa; Cnidaria; Anthozoa; Malacalcyonacea; Plexauridae.
AUCUAGCCUGCGAACAGGCUCUCAAGCUGAAUUGAGAGCCUGCAUCGAUGACCAAUGAAUUUGAAUAUCUGCCCCGUAACGUUCGUUUUUCCAAAUAUGGAAUGUCUAUCCUUAUAUGGUGUUGUUUACAACUUUGGUGCAAACUAAAUUUAGACCAUGCAAAACUAAAUUUAGACCGUACAGUUUAUACUGUUUUUCGAAAUAUAAGAUAUUGAAGCAAAAGUUUAAAUGUUUUAAAUACUGUUUUCUCAAAACAGAACAUUUCGUGCUUUGAGAUAAGAUGGCCAAGACCAAUUUGAUCAGUUAAUGUGUUUUUUAUGCAUAGUGCUAGCAGUUGACAUAUAUAGAGCUCAGCGAAAUAAUAUAAAUUAUAGCAUCUGAC